UAAAGCCCAUGCCCAGCGGCCCCAUUGCAGCAAGAUAAAGCCUGUCUCUAUAUAAAAACAUAUAUAGUCGAGAUAAUCAAGGGAAGAUGACAGGGACCAUAAAAAGGACGUCAGCAGAAAAUAGAAAGAUGUAAAAAAAAAAGAAAGAAAGAGAGAGAAGACAUGAGGAAACACGAAUAGUAGCCUGGAGAGAAAGAGCCACGUUUAAGUGAGUAGAAGAAGAAGUGAGUGGACGGGCAGCGGAGAGUGAAGGGAGGAGUGAAGGAGACGAGGAGCAAACAAGUGUGUACGCGGGGGGCCGACCUGCCAUGACCUGGCAGCUCCUCUCCACCCAGCCAUGCGGCGCGUGUACGUGCGCGCUCCGGAGUUUAUACUUGCGCUCAUCCAAUGUGAGGAAUGAUGUGCGAGACUUGAAAGAAGACGCUGCGGAACAAAGUGAUGAUUCCCCGCCCCCCCUUCAUUAGAAGAGAUUAAUGAAGCCCCUGCAAGCAGACAGUGAGUCUGAUUAAAACAGACUCCCGUGUUCAGUGCUCCCUCAAUGUCAUGUGACCCCCCCUCCCAAUUUAUUAGGAUGACUGUCAUGUGAUUAACUGAGGUGUUUUGUUCAGGCUAAAGUUGCAGAUGCUCCGAGAGGCAGACGAACGCAUCCGAGAGCGGCGGAGAUGAGAGCGGAGCAGAUGUACUCUGAGAGAGACCCCGAUAAAAGGCUGACAGAGGGGGGAAGAUGAAGUGAAGACGAGCAAAGGAAAGACAGCAGGAAGUCGAGAGUGACGAAAAGGAGGGCUUGAAAUGCAGAUGAACUUCUCAGACGACGUUGGAAUCUGCAACAGCCAUCUGUGUGUGCCCCGUCGUCACUUUUUAGUCUGACUGAUCUGUGUUCCAACAUCAUUGGAAGAGGACCUCAGGCUCUACAGGCGCAGGAGACGUUAGGAGAAAGAUACCUCUGGGCCAGACUGCAUGACCUGAAAUGAUUGCAUAUGAUUUGGAGCUCAACUCAUGUGUCAAAUAAUAAAAUAAAAGUUUUUA
Pseudoliparis swirei is the source of this 1026-nucleotide long non-coding RNA. RefSeq lists it as uncharacterized. The record is from RefSeq and is a predicted model, not a curated record. NCBI's taxonomy places the organism in Eukaryota, Metazoa, Chordata, Actinopteri, Perciformes, Liparidae. The transcript is spliced from 3 exons.